RNAcentral lists this long non-coding RNA (605 nucleotides) under Olea europaea subsp. europaea. Lineage: Eukaryota; Viridiplantae; Streptophyta; Magnoliopsida; Lamiales; Oleaceae. The record is from RNAcentral.
CUAAUGAUAUAUCUAAGAUAAAAAGUAAUUAUGGUAGAAAUUCUAGUAGUACCAAGCUGAAAGCGACUGUGAAUCCUAAACUUGCCUACGCUCAUCCAAACCGACCUCAAAAGCAAUCGAAAAGUGAAGCCGUUCCUUCUUUGGCGAUAGUUCCAAGGUGCACUAAAAUAUAGUUUGGAAGAUAUCUUAAGAAAAGAUUUUAGCAUCGGUAAAAGUAGGUCUAGAUGUGAUCCGGUUCGAUUCGGUUCUAAAGAGAAUCGAAUCGAAUUCAAAUUUUUGGAAAAUUUAAUAAAUAGAACCGUCGGGUCUAAAUUUAAUUAUGGAACCAUUCGUGUUCGGUUCUAUUUAGUUCAGUUUGAUUUCGUUUGAUUCCUGGAUUCCAUACAAAUAAUUAAAUUUUUUAAUAUUUAAAAUGCUACAUUAAUUCAACUAAUGAUAUGUUCAAUAUUAACUCUUACAAAAUAACGCAGUUUAAUCUUAUGUAUCUUUUGCAUAUCUCUUUGUUGAGUUAUUCAUAGAUUUGAUUGUUAAACUAACAUGAAAAUGAAGAUAGUGAGCUCACAAUAAUGAAGUGAGGCAUAGUCGAGCUUUCAAUUAGAUUCCCC